AUUUUACCCAUAUGACAAAACCCACUCUCAUUUUAAGGAUCAGUGAGGAACCUGAGCACCACAGAAGUGGUAUAUAAGCUCUCUUUAUGUAGGUGAAGUUCAUUUGGGGCAGCGUAUCCCACAGGAUUCAGAGAGAGGGAUUAGUCCCUUUCUUUUCCCAGAAUAAUAGGGAGAAUAAAGCUUAUCAUCCAUCUGGGGGAUGUGCAGCCUGUCUUUGUGAGUUGCAACUGGGUUGUAAAUAGUUCUAGUGUAAAUCCUACAACGGGAUUAAAACAUGCAACUGGCAGUGGGAUAGUAUUUGUAGAGAAGCUACAAAUGAAUCAUUUCUUCAAAUACUUCAGGAACAGGAAAGAACUAGACUGUCUAAUAGUCCCCCCGGAAACCAAUGUGA
This is a long non-coding RNA of Oxyura jamaicensis (ruddy duck), 391 nucleotides long. RefSeq lists it as uncharacterized. The record is from RefSeq and is a predicted model, not a curated record. The transcript has 2 exons. Lineage: Eukaryota; Metazoa; Chordata; Aves; Anseriformes; Anatidae.